UUAAAAAGCUCGUAGUUGGAUUUCUGUUGAGGACGGCCGGUCCGCACUAUGUGCGUGUAUCUGGUUCGGCCUUGGCAUCCUCUUGAGGAACGUUCCUGCGCUUGAUUGCGUGGGGCGGUAUUCAAGACUUUUACUUUGAGGAAAUUAGAGUGUUCACGGCAGGCAAACGCCUUGAAUACAUUAGCAUGGAAUAAUAAUAUAGGACCUUGGUCCCAUUUUGUUGGUUUCUGGAACUGAGGUAAUGAUUAAUAGGGAUAAUUGGGGGCAUUCGUAUUAACGUGUCAGAGGUGGAAUUCUUGGAUUACGUUACGACGAACUACUGCGAAAGCAUUUGCCAAGGAUGUUUUCAUUGAUCAAGAACGAAAGUUCGGGGAUCGAAGAUGAUUAGAUACCAUCGUAGUCCGAACCAUAAACUAUGCCAACU
This 424-nucleotide ribosomal RNA is filed under the name uncultured marine eukaryote. RNAcentral's name for it is "SSU rRNA". It matches the Rfam family "Eukaryotic small subunit ribosomal RNA", at positions 619 to 1047 of the family's 1831-position model. The record is from RNAcentral.